ACCUGGCUGGCUCAGUCAGUGGAGCAUGUGACUCUUGAUCUCAGGGUUGUGGGUCUGAACCCCAUGUUGGGGG
Molecule: transfer RNA, 73 nt
Filed under: Felis catus (domestic cat)
Lineage: Eukaryota; Metazoa; Chordata; Mammalia; Carnivora; Felidae
Also listed under: 4 other names
Rfam family: tRNA
About the family: Transfer RNA (tRNA) molecules are approximately 80 nucleotides in length. Their secondary structure includes four short double-helical elements and three loops (D, anti-codon, and T loops). Further hydrogen bonds mediate the characteristic L-shaped molecular structure. tRNAs have two regions of fundamental functional importance: the anti-codon, which is responsible for specific mRNA codon recognition, and the 3' end, to which the tRNAs corresponding amino acid is attached (by aminoacyl-tRNA synthetases). tRNAs cope with the degeneracy of the genetic code in two manners: having more than one tRNA (with a specific anti-codon) for a particular amino acid; and 'wobble' base-pairing, i.e. permitting non-standard base-pairing at the 3rd anti-codon position.
Source: Rfam by way of RNAcentral